This 200-nucleotide ribosomal RNA is filed under the name uncultured bacterium. Its description in RNAcentral is "partial 16S ribosomal RNA". It matches the Rfam family "Bacterial small subunit ribosomal RNA", at positions 30 to 232 of the family's 1533-position model. The record is from RNAcentral.
ACUGAACGCUGGCGGCAGGCCUAACACAUGCAAGUCGAGCGGAUGAGUGGAGCUUGCUCCAUGAUUCAGCGGCGGACGGGUGAGUAAUGCCUAGGAAUCUGCCUAUUAGUGGGGGACAACGUUUCGAAAGGAACGCUAAUACCGCAUACGCCCUACGGGGAAAGGGGGGAUCGCAAGACCUCCCGCUAUCAGAUGAGCCC